GCCCGGGUAACUCCAGGGAAGGCGGUGGACCUACCGCCCGCCUGAGGCUGGUGUGAUGAAGAAGAGGAGAAUCAGGUGGUCUGUGUGCGGGUAGCCUCGUAGUUCAUGGGUGAUAGCCUGUGUCCACCCUCCUGCCUAGGGUGAUUUAGGAUUUUUAAAGCAGGCGGGGGCUUUAUUUCAGGGGGGGGGGCACGAAGAUGGCUUGUUUCUUUGGACAUUACAGCACUAAAGUCAAGCGCUUGUGAGAAUCAGAAUGUUUCAUAAAAGUGACCACGCUGGAACCAGAGGUUCUUUUACUGAGCUCUCAUUAACAACGUCAGCGGCAUAAGUGCAGGGGGCAGGGCAGGGCAGGUCUGCUGCUGUUAAACCACCAUCCCUGGAACCUGGCACCUGCAAGUGAGCAGUUGAAGGACACCAGCAGGGUAGGCUGGGGUCAGGCCACUUCACAUCGGUGGAGCAUGUUUCAGGCUGAACAAACCCAAGGCCCAUUGCAGAAAUGUAACAAAGUGACAUGGAAAGGGGUACUGUGGUGAAAGGAGGCACCUACUUAACAUUACAUAGGCGAGGCUAAGCUCCUGAUAAGAGUGCUGCAGAGCCAGGAUGGUGUGAGCCCAGGAGAGUGGGAGGAAAAGGAGCCCUGCCUAAUUCAGUGCACAAGCAAAUGGUCGGUUUUGUCUGUGGCUGCUUCAGGGUGACGCAAAAGACUCCGGAGUGUUUGGGACAGUGCAAUUGGAAUGUUUACAAAAGUUGGAGGAGCCAGUGGUUCCCCCCACCAUCCCUCAGAUCUUGUAACUUGACCAGAUCUGGAUUGUCAAGUGGACAGCAGCAGAUACCUCUAUGAGCCCACAACUAUACCUCCUGCCAAGUUUCAGGUUCCUACUGCAAACAAUGUAGUUUUCAGACCAGUUCAGAAAAAGAUCAAUUUAAAAAAAAAUAAAGAAAGAACUACCUGUUGUUCCUAGCCUCUGUCUCGAUGCUAAAUGGUUCAGGCUUCUUCAAUUAUUCUUUUAAAUCUCAACCUCAGAGAGCAUACAUAGAAAAUUUCAGAUUGAAUGCUCAAGAUUUGCUAGAAUUAAAAGCAAGGGAAAAGAGACCUUAUUAGGCAACCAUCAGAGAGAUGCUGCUGCCACAAAGGUGGGCUCAGAUAUCCAUAAGGACAUCCCCCAUUUAAAAACAAAAGACACUAUUUCUUUGUUGAAGUUUAGUUGCCUUUAAUUCCUUUGGGGAGGUCAUUCCUCAGGAAGAAUUCCCAGCUGUGGGAGUUUGACACAAGAGAUUCUGGUGUACUCUAGCACAA
Molecule: long non-coding RNA, 1297 nt
Organism: Chelonia mydas (Green sea turtle)
Lineage: Eukaryota; Metazoa; Chordata; Testudines; Cheloniidae
Exons: 3
Source: RefSeq, a predicted model, not a curated record